Long non-coding RNA from Numida meleagris (helmeted guineafowl), 1908 nucleotides. The record is from Ensembl. Lineage: Eukaryota; Metazoa; Chordata; Aves; Galliformes; Numididae.
CCACACACUCAUGGUCCCCAGCUAAUAUACAGAAAUUGCACAGAAGAAGAGUAAUCUAAAUUGAGCAUAAAUGAAACGAGAAAAAAAUAACAGUGGCCUACGAAUAAAAGCAGUCAAUCCACAGAUAAACACGUGUUAGUUAGGCAGUACUUCGUAUCGUCAGUUAGGCAUGUACUUCAUAUUUGGGAACUUCUGCACCAAAACCCCUCAUGGAACUGAACUGUCUGAUUUUUUUUUUUCAGUUAUUACUACUUACAAAGACAGGCUGAGGGAGCUGGGCUUGUUCAGCCUGGAGAAGAGAAGGCUGUGGGAUGACCUCAUUGCAGCCUUCCAGUACCUGAAAGGAGCCUACAAACAGAAGGAGCGUCAACUCUUUACAAGGAUUUCAACAUAUUGAGCUCAAUCUUUCCCCAACUCUUCGGAUAUUUUGUACCAUAAGAAGGAGUGGAAAAGGAAGAACAGGUCUGCUCCUCUGACCAACACAUGGGUUAUAAGCCAGCAGAGGAGAGAGCCAGCACUGGGAUGUGAGAGGGCCUGAGCUGCCAGAGGUGGGACUGCAUCAAGAGCUGUUUCCUUCAGCUCUCUGCCUGCUGAUGGAACAACCAGAAAGAAAAUUCCUUUCAGCUUGACCUCAGUUCUCAGAAACUGGGCUCAGAGGAGGAGCCUCUGCUACAAAAUGCCUUAAAAUGAUCUGAGUUCGGGGUACUCAUCUCUGUCUAGAGUUGUUUGGCAAAUUGCAUUAGUCAGAUGAGAUCCUCAGCAAGAACCAGCUAUUGCAGUUACACUGCUGCCACUUGUCAGCACUCAUUUACAGGGUACCAGUAUACUCAGGAUUUUUAAUGAAUCCCCCCAGAAGUAGUCUGUACAGAGUUAUGAAAGUUCCAUGAGAUUAUGGAAAUGAAUCUUAAAAGCCAGGUGUUCAUAAGUGUAUUUAGGGAGAGAUGCAUUGUUCCAUUUCAGGUGCCGUAGCACACAAUACCAUAUGUGAGAUUGCAAUACAUUUGUUCAGUUAUAGUGUAGAUCAUGGCAGAGAAAGGAAAACAAAAAGGACAUGUAAUAACUGCAGCAACUGAUUUAAUAACUCCCUAAUUAUUGGUACCAAAAAAAAUUUUAAGAGCUGGAACAUCCUAGCAGUUAGUGAUAGGCAUCCUGUGUGCUUUGGAAACCAAUCAAUCUGAUUUAUUUACAUUUUUCCUUUCUCUACCACUCUAGCUUUCCCUGCUUAAUUCAUUUGAAUCUUCCCAACCUUUCUCCACUCUAUGCAGCAAGUCAUCCUAUCAGCACUAAUGCAUGUUGUUAAAUGGACAAAAUGCGGAAAAGCUUCUGUGAAAACAAUCAGAAGAGACUAUCACAUUACCUUUCAUUCUUUUUGAGUUGCUUUCUUUUGACAGAGAAACCAUCACUUUUUCAUAUUUUUUCCUUGCAGUCUUAAAGCAUAUGAAAAAGAAAGUCUUGCUUUUUCUUCUGUUUUCUUCUCACCUUCUGUCUCACUAGCCCUCCCCAUCACAUCAGUCUGCAUGAUUUCUGUGUCUCAUUUUUGUAUCUUCCAUGCCUUUACUCUCUUCACUGACUUAUCCCAACCAACUUGCAGUUGCACUGCAAGCUCAGCAUCAGUUUCCUGGGUGGUUUUCCCUGGAACUCAGUCACAGCAAAGUUGUACAGCGUUCUUCUUCCACCUAGGAUCCACGGGCUGUAAACACUAUGUUUUCUGAUUCUUCAUUCCUUGGCAGUCUUGACUCCUAGCAUUUUCUAGGCAGGAAACUUUGGUCUAUUAGAAGACAUUUCUCACACAUCUUCUGCUUAUCUCAAAGCCAUCACAAGACUUCCUCAAUCCACCUCAUAAGAAUACACAGCCCUGCUGGCUGAGACUUUCAGUAAAUAAAAAGAAGCUUCUGUAGUCCUGCCCCA